GGCUGAUUCCCCAGGGGUUACUGGCACUGACUCUGAACUGAUAAGGACAUCCAGGACUGAGGUCUUCGAUAACGAGAAGUGGAAACUUCCCUUCCAGCAGCCAGAUGUAGAGUUUCUCGGGUUGAAGAGGACAAGAGAAGUCCUGUCUUCCCACUCCAUCCCAGCUCAGGCUCCUGUAGCCCAGGCCUCCACCAGUGAACACACAUACUCUACAGCAAAAAAACUGAAAAAAGAGUGAGAAUGUUGCCAACUCUGUAAUGGCCUGGAUUUCCUAUUAUGAUGGGAACCCACAAGGGAGCAAGACACUGAGUCCACGUCAAGGUCUCACAGACGUGACAGACGACAAGUGGGAGAAGCAAGGAGCAGGUCCAUGCUAUGGAGAAGGGCUUCAUAAAGCAGCCCUGUGGCCGUGCUUCCACACGACAGCACCCCAAACUGCUGCCAGAAGUCCGUCUUAUUCCUCUUUUUCAUUACUUAACUUCAACAGUGUCAAGUAUAUUAUUGAAUAUAUGUGUCAUUUAAAAAAACAAAUAUUCCUGGGCCGGCAG
Tupaia belangeri chinensis (Chinese tree shrew) is the source of this 548-nucleotide long non-coding RNA. RefSeq lists it as uncharacterized. The record is from RefSeq and is a predicted model, not a curated record. The transcript has 3 exons. Lineage: Eukaryota; Metazoa; Chordata; Mammalia; Scandentia; Tupaiidae.